GUGGGUAUAAGCCUAAUUGGUAAGGCAGCAGUUUGCUAAACUGUGAGUAGCCGGGACCGCCGGCGUAUGAGUUCGAGUCUCAUUGCCCACG
RNAcentral lists this transfer RNA (91 nucleotides) under Butyrivibrio sp. RNAcentral describes it as "tRNA-Ser". It matches the Rfam family "tRNA". Rfam says of the family: Transfer RNA (tRNA) molecules are approximately 80 nucleotides in length. Their secondary structure includes four short double-helical elements and three loops (D, anti-codon, and T loops). Lineage: Bacteria; Bacillati; Bacillota; Clostridia; Lachnospirales; Lachnospiraceae. RNAcentral also lists the same sequence under 1 other name. The record is from RNAcentral.